This 1400-nucleotide long non-coding RNA is filed under the name Phasianus colchicus (ring-necked pheasant). Its description in RNAcentral is "lncRNA (ENSPCLG00000003714.1)". The record is from RNAcentral. Lineage: Eukaryota; Metazoa; Chordata; Aves; Galliformes; Phasianidae.
CUUUGGGACAUGGUUUAGUGGGCAAUAUUGGAGGUAAAUGGAAAGCUGGACUAGAUGAUAUUAGUGGCCUUUUCCUACCUAGAUCAUUCUAUGAUUGUAUGAUUCUGUGAUUUGUGCAGGCAAUGUAUGGGGUAGGUCAGCUGGUUUGUUGCCUUUCAGGAGAGUCACAUUACAUCCUAAUAAUAUAAUUUAGUUUUUUGUCGAGGGAAUUUACCAGGGUUGGUAUUAAGCCCUCUAUUUUCUUUUUUUUUUUUUUUUCCUGACUAGAUAGAAAUAUGGGUUAUUCCUGAGUAGAGGAUGCUAUUACAGCAAACAUGAGACCAGGCCACAGCCCUGAUGACCUGGUAGGGGCUUUGCUGCAGGCAGUGAGUGUGGAUCUCUGCUGUAAAGAGAGAUAAAGGAGUAAUGGAUGACAUGGGAUAUUUUAGGACAUUUCAACCAUUAACCAAAUGGGGCCAUUCUGAGUGCAGAGCAUCCAUUUUGCACAGGAAGAAGUGCCAGAAGUAGGCUCUGAUGGCCAAGGUGACAGCUGGUGGCUCAUCUAAUGGGCUACCCAGGCUCUGCUUGGCCAAUAUGUGCCAGUCCUGCCCUGUUCCUCUCCAUUCCCUUUCCCCAGGUCCCUCUCCCUGUCUGGGCUAUUGAAGGGAGCAGUGCCAUAGGGACGAUCAUCACAAGGCCUCAGGCUGAGCUGCACACCAUGCUUCAGCAAGGCAGACAACCCAAAAUGUAUUUGGUGCAUUUUCAGUCAAAAACAGCCCACGAAAUAUGUAUUUUCAUUACAACAGCCACUUCACUUUGAUUGAAUCAGGCAUUCAUUCUUGAGCAGUUCUCUCUGAUACAGCAAAGGGUUUUGCCACUGUUGUGGUUUAGGUGUGUUUUCCAGCCAUUGGCAUCAAGGUGGGUCACAAGACAGAGGACAGAUCCACAUCAUCCAGCUUUGCUUUGUUUUACUGGCAAAUGAGUCACUAAUUGCUCCUGUCAGAGGUAAGAUGCUGGGAAAGCAGGGAAACCCCUCUCCACUUACUGCUUGCAAAGAGUCAGGCUGAUCUCAAUUCAUCUGUUAUUGUCAAUUUGCAUGGACUGGUUUUCAGUAGUGACUUGUUUCUGUUGGACCCACUCCUGAGCAUAGGCACAAAGUACACAGGGUAAGGGAAGGAUGCACGGCUGAGUGAUGUACUGCCUUGCUCAAGCUGUUGGGAUUGGUAGACUGUACCUGCCAUCAUAAGGUUGAGCCAUUCCAGACUACAGAGCUUCCUCUCUUGAUGUCUGUUAUCAAGAUGGAGGUUUCAAAACAUUCGUAUCUUUAGGUGCAAGUGAGAAAGAGUUGCUGAAUUGUUUCCUCCUGGGAAAUAUUGUGGAGUAUGAAUAAACUUUGGGUUGAGCUAACUGUGUCUGUUUGC